This 958-nucleotide long non-coding RNA is filed under the name Salmo salar (Atlantic salmon). RNAcentral's name for it is "lncRNA (ENSSSAG00000083645.1)". Lineage: Eukaryota; Metazoa; Chordata; Actinopteri; Salmoniformes; Salmonidae. The record is from RNAcentral.
AUUUGUAUGAACAUAACAAGAUUCAACAACUGAGACAUAAACUGAACAAGUUCCACAGACAUGUGACUAACAGAAAUGGAAUAAUGUGUCCCAGAACAAAGUGGGGACAGGGAUGCUCCAUAGUACUUCACUGGUCUGCGGAGUCCAGGGGUUUCGUUGUAGCACAAAGCUAUGGUAGAGGCCUCCAGAGUGUAGUAGUUUGUGUAAUUACUUUCGCCUUUUAUUCUGGGGGGCAAGUCCAAUGCAUUCAGGAAAUGUAGAAGAAAGCUUUUUAUUCCCUCUUCCUCUUCACAUCGACAAAUCCUGACAGCCUGAAAAACAAAGAAGUGAAACAUGCAAUAUUCAACAAAUUAUAAGCUACAUGGACAAUACAUGUUUUAUAUGUGUUUUAUUGUCAUUGUUUAGUGUUAAUUUUGUUGAUGUGGAAAUUGGUCGAGGACAAAAGCUUCAGGUUAAAUACAUUCCAUUUACACACUUACCAAAGUCAGAAGAUUGGAAAAUGGAGUCUGGUGGGGUGGAUACUUGUAAUUGUGGAAUGCCUGUGGAAAUCUUCUUUCUAAAUCGUACAUCACAAGCCUACCCUCACGAGACUCAAAGAAGGCAUUUGGAAGAAGACUGGCCUGAUGAAUGUGACCUAAGAAAAAGAUGCUAUGAAGCAACUUUUAACAAACAUGAAUAAUGAAUAACAUAAUUAACAAACAAUGUAUAACAUAACAAGAUCAAUUAAUAAUUGUUUGUUCUAGAAACAAUUCAUUUGUAACAUGUAUAGUAAACCAAAAAUAUGCUAAAUGUGUGGGAAUGUAUUUUAAGCAUAUGAUUAGUGUAUUUAAUUAGGCGAUGUGUACCAUAUUCACGUAAUGUUGUAUUCCGUCAACUCCCAUCCUCAGGCGACUCCUCCAAAGCCUUACAACCUGUCUAAUAAAUGCUGUUCCUGAUGACUUUAAGCUUCCAUCAUUUC